GAUGAACGCUGGCGGCGUGCCUAAUACAUGCAAGUCGAGCGAACGGACGAGAAGCUUGCUUCUCUGAUGUUAGCGGCGGACGGGUGAGUAACACGUGGAUAACCUACCUAUAAGACUGGGAUAACUUCGGGAAACCGUAGCUAAUACCGGAUAAUAUUCUGAACCGCAUGGUUCAAAAGUGAAAGACGGUCUUGCUGUCACUUAUAGAUGGAUCCGCGCUGCAUUAGCUAGUUGGUAAGGUAACGGCUUACCAAGGCAACGAUGCAUAGCCGACCUGAGAGAGUGAUCGGCCACACUAGAACUGAGACGCGGUCCAGAGUCCUGAGAGAGGCAGCAGUAGGGAAUGUUCCGCAGUGGGCGGAAGCCUGACGGAGCGACGCGGCGUGAGUGGUGGAGGUGUUCGGAUCGUAAAACUCUGUUAUUAGGGAAGAACAGAUGUCGAAGGAACUGUGGACAGCGUGACGGUACCUAAUCAGAAAGCCACGGCUAACUACGUG
RNAcentral lists this ribosomal RNA (497 nucleotides) under uncultured bacterium. RNAcentral describes it as "partial 16S ribosomal RNA". It matches the Rfam family "Bacterial small subunit ribosomal RNA", at positions 28 to 507 of the family's 1533-position model. The record is from RNAcentral.